GCCCGGGUAGUAUAGUCCGGUCUAGUAUGGGGGACUGUCACUCCUUCGACCCGGGUUCGAAAUUCGGAUUGGGCGAUAUUAAGAAUAGCCCAUCGAACGAACAUCCCGGCCCGGGCG
This 117-nucleotide transfer RNA is filed under the name Thermoproteota archaeon. RNAcentral describes it as "tRNA-Asp". The stretch from base 1 to 75 matches the Rfam family "tRNA". Rfam says of the family: Transfer RNA (tRNA) molecules are approximately 80 nucleotides in length. Their secondary structure includes four short double-helical elements and three loops (D, anti-codon, and T loops). The record is from RNAcentral. Lineage: Archaea; Thermoproteati; Thermoproteota.